GAGGAAAAGAAACCAACAGGGAUUGCCUCAGUAACGGCGAGUGAAGCGGCAAAAGCUCAAAUUUUAAAGCUGGCACCUCCGGUGUCCGCGUUGUAAUUUUGUGAGGCAUCUCCGGGUGGGGCGCCGGCCUAAGUUCCUUGGAACAGGACGUCAUAGAGGGUGAGAAUCCCGUGCUUGGCUGGCUGUCCCCGUCCAUGUGAGGUGUCUUCGACGAGUCGAGUUGUUUGGGAAUGCAGCUCAAAAUGGGUGGUAAAUUUCAUCUAAAGCUAAAUAUUGGUGGGAGACCGAUAGCGCACAAGUAGAGUGAUCGAAAGAUGAAAAGCACUUUGAAAAUAGAGUUAAAAAGUACGUGAAAUUGUUGAAAGGGAAGCGCUUGAGACCAGACUUCGGUGGGGAGUGAUCAGCCGUCCUUCUGGGCGGUGCACUUGCCCCCCUCCGGGCCAGCAUCGGUUGGGACGGCGGGAUAAAGGUCCCGGGAAUGUGGCUCCUCUCGGGGAGUGUUAUAGCCCGGGUGAAUGCCGCCAGCCCCGACCGAGGACCGCGCCUUCGGGCUAGGAUGCUUGGCAUAAUGGUCUUCAGCGACC
This 584-nucleotide ribosomal RNA is filed under the name Morchella americana. RNAcentral describes it as "eukaryotic LSU rRNA". It matches the Rfam family "Eukaryotic large subunit ribosomal RNA", at positions 53 to 649 of the family's 3401-position model. Lineage: Eukaryota; Fungi; Ascomycota; Pezizomycetes; Pezizales; Morchellaceae. The record is from RNAcentral.